UCUUAGAGGGACUGGCGCUUUACAUAAAGUGCCGAAGGAAGCAAUAACAGGUCUGUGAUGCCCUAAAUGUCCGGGGCCGCACGCGUGCUACAAUGACGAUGCAARUGAGCAUGAUAAGCUAGUUCGAAAGGAUUGGCAAACCUGAUCAAUCAUCGUCGUGACUGGGAUUGGGGUUUGUAAUUAUCCCCCAUGAACGAGGAAUUCCUAGUAAGCACAAGUCAUAANCUUGUGCUGAUUACGUCCCUGCCCUUUGUACACACCGCCCGUCGCUACUACCGAUUGAAUGGUUUAGCRAGGUUAUUGGAUYGGCUUUYAGCAGUUCGCRCUGCUAUWAGCUGRGAAGAUGACCGAACUUGAUCAUUUAGAGGAAGUAAAAGUCGUAACAAGGUUUCCGUAGGUGAACCUGCGGAAGGAUCAUUAUCUAUUUUAUUCCUAAAUCUCUAGGWCAAUGUAUAUCAUUUUAGAGGUGUCAUGCUUCUAGUGAUGUAAUUUUGUCCUAUGCGUAUUUCAUGCUCUUGUUUGGGCAUGACGCUCUGUUGCAGUGUGUUGGCUGUUAUGAGUCGACUGGGUGCUUUAUGUGGCCAAGUGACAGUGGUUGCAUUAUACGGGCAUUCAGGCGUUCCUAUUCUCUCCUACAGCCAGCUCUGUCACUAAA
RNAcentral lists this ribosomal RNA (655 nucleotides) under Thaparocleidus alatus. RNAcentral's name for it is "bacterial SSU rRNA". The stretch from base 1 to 420 matches the Rfam family "Eukaryotic small subunit ribosomal RNA". The record is from RNAcentral. Lineage: Eukaryota; Metazoa; Platyhelminthes; Monogenea; Dactylogyridea; Ancylodiscoididae.